Felis catus (domestic cat) is the source of this 88-nucleotide transfer RNA. It matches the Rfam family "tRNA". From Rfam's summary of the family: Transfer RNA (tRNA) molecules are approximately 80 nucleotides in length. NCBI's taxonomy places the organism in Eukaryota, Metazoa, Chordata, Mammalia, Carnivora, Felidae. The record is from Rfam.
GCCUGAGUGGCUCAGUCGGUUAAGCGUCUGACUUUGGCUCAGGUCAUGAUCUCAUCAUGGUUUGUGGGUUCAAGCUCUACAUCAGGCU